GGUCGGCCCUCCAAAGGCCGACGUGCUGAAGAGGCUUGUCUUUCUUGCCGGGCGUGCGGAUCGGGAAUCAUCCCCUUCCAAACGAUGGCCAUCCGUGAACGACGCGUAAGGCGCGAUCAACGCCUUUGCUCGUUUUCGUCUGGCCACGGCGCAUCGUCGGAUCGAAGUCUUCCC
Methylocystis bryophila is the source of this 174-nucleotide non-coding RNA. The record is from Rfam. NCBI's taxonomy places the organism in Bacteria, Pseudomonadati, Pseudomonadota, Alphaproteobacteria, Hyphomicrobiales, Methylocystaceae.